CCUACGGGGGGCACCAGUGGGGAAUAUUGCGCAAUGGGCGCAAGCCUGAUGCAGCCAUGCCGCGUGUAUGAAGAAGGCCUUAGGGUUGUAAAGUACUUCCAGUUGGGAGGAAGGCGUUGAUGCUAAUAUCAUCAACGAUUGACGUUACCGACAGAAGAAGCACCGGCUAACUCCGUGCCAGCAGCCGCGGUAAUACGGAGGGUGCAAGCGUUAAUCGGAAUUACUGGGCGUAAAGCGCACGCAGGCGGUUGAUUAGGUUAGAUGUGAAAUCCCCGGGCUUAACCUGGGAAUGGCAUCUAAGACUGGUCAGCUAGAGUCUUGUAGAGGGGGGUGGAAUUCCAUGUGUAGCGGUGAAAUGCGUAGAGAUGUGGAGGAAUACCGGUGGCGAAGGCGGCCCCCUGGACAAAGACUGACGCUCAGGUGCGAAAGCGUGGGGAGCAAACAGGAUUAGAUACCCGCGUAGUC
RNAcentral lists this ribosomal RNA (465 nucleotides) under uncultured bacterium. RNAcentral describes it as "bacterial SSU rRNA". It matches the Rfam family "Bacterial small subunit ribosomal RNA", at positions 338 to 795 of the family's 1533-position model. The record is from RNAcentral.